UAGGGAAUCUUCCGCAAUGGACGCAAGUCUGACGGAGCAACGCCGCGUGAGUGAAGAAGGAUUUCGGUUCGUAAAACUCUGUUGUUAGAGAAGAACAGCGCAUAGAGUAACUGUUAUGCGUGUGACGGUAUCUAACCAGAAAGCCACGGCUAACUACGUGCCAGCAGCCGCGGUAAUACGUAGGUGGCAAGCGUUGUCCGGAUUUAUUGGGCGUAAAGCGAGCGCAGGCGGUCAAUUAAGUCUGAUGUGAAAGCCCCCGGCUCAACCGGGGAGGGUCCUUGGAAACUGGUUAACUUGAGUGCAGAAGAGGAGAGUGGAAUUCCAUGUGUAGCGGUGAAACGCGUAGAUAUAUGGAGGAACCCCAGUGGGGAAGGCGACUCUCUGGUCUGUAACUGACGCUGAGGUUCGAAAGCGUGGGUAGCAAACAGG
RNAcentral lists this ribosomal RNA (429 nucleotides) under Bacteroidota bacterium. Its description in RNAcentral is "Bacteroidetes bacterium partial 16S ribosomal RNA". It matches the Rfam family "Bacterial small subunit ribosomal RNA", at positions 355 to 776 of the family's 1533-position model. Lineage: Bacteria; Pseudomonadati; Bacteroidota. The record is from RNAcentral.